GAUGAAGAACGCAGUGAAAUGCGAUACGUAAUGUGAAUUGCAGAAUUCAGUGAAUCAUCGAAUCUUUGAACGCACAUUGCGCCCGCCAGUAUUCUGGCGGGCAUGCCUGUUCGAGCGUCAUUACAACCCUCAGGCCCCCGGGCCUGGCGUUGGGGAUCGGCGGAAGCCCCCUGCGGGCACAACGCCGUCCCCCAAAUACAGUGGCGGUCCCGCCGCAGCUUCCAUUGCGUAGUAGCUAACACCUCGCAACUGGAGAGCGGCGCGGCCACGCCGUAAAACACCCAACUUCUGAAUGUUGACCUCGAAUCAGGUAGGAAUACCCGCUGAACUUAAGCAUAUCAAUAAGCGGAGGA
RNAcentral lists this unclassified non-coding RNA (353 nucleotides) under soil metagenome. Its description in RNAcentral is "partial contains 5.8S ribosomal RNA, internal transcribed spacer 2, and large subunit ribosomal RNA". The stretch from base 1 to 120 matches the Rfam family "5.8S ribosomal RNA", at positions 35 to 154 of the family's 154-position model. The record is from RNAcentral.